RNAcentral lists this ribosomal RNA (460 nucleotides) under uncultured bacterium. RNAcentral describes it as "partial 16S ribosomal RNA". It matches the Rfam family "Bacterial small subunit ribosomal RNA", at positions 338 to 795 of the family's 1533-position model. The record is from RNAcentral.
CCUACGGGCGGCAGCAGUGAGGAAUAUUGGUCAAUGGACGAGAGUCUGAACCAGCCAAGUAGCGUGAAGGAUGACUGCCCUAUGGGUUGUAAACUUCUUUUAUAUGGGAAUAAAAUGUUCCACGUGUGGGAUUUUGUAUGUACCAUAUGAAUAAGGAUCGGCUAACUCCGUGCCAGCAGCCGCGGUAAUACGGAGGAUCCGAGCGUUAUCCGGAUUUAUUGGGUUUAAAGGGAGCGUAGGUGGAUUGUUAAGUCAGUUGUGAAAGUUUGCGGCUCAACCGUAAAAUUGCAGUUGAAACUGGCAGUCUUGAGUACGGUAGAGGUGGGCGGAAUUCGUGGUGUAGCGGUGAAAUGCUUAGAUAUCACGAAGAACUCCGAUUGCGAAGGCAGCUCACUGGGCUGCUACUGACGCUGAGGCACGAAAGUGUGGGGAUCAAACAGGAUUAGAUACCCUGGUAGUC